CAGUCUCAAUCUGCCCGGGAGAUAUGAAAUGAAUAUGAGCAUCAAUCCCACCCGCAGUUACUAUUUUUCCCUCUGCAGCAAUUACUUCUGUAGAAGCACCAAUAACAAUAUCAACAUUGUCCAUCAAUAGUGGGUUCCCCGCUUUUCCAAUAGCAGUAAUAUAACCAUCCUUCACCCCAAUAUCAGCUUUAUAAAUGCCUGUAUAAUCGAGAAUAAUAGCAUUGGUGAAAACUAAGUCGACACUCUCAGCUCUAGUCGCUAAGGGAUGCUGCCCCAUUCCAUCUCGG
This is a small RNA of 287 nucleotides. It matches the Rfam family "5' ureB small RNA". The record is from Rfam.